GUUUGUGUGUGUGUGUGUGUGUUUGUGUGUGUGCGUGCGUGUACGGGCUAACGUGUGCGCGUGUGAGAGGCAGAAUGAGUGUGUCUGUCUUUGUGUCUGUGAUGUCGGGCCUCCUGCAGUGACCCCACGGAGUGCACCAUUCCGGCCGCAAACAAAGGGCCGGCUGUUUCCCCCUGCUUCAACCAUGGGCUGCUCCAAAACCACCGACCAUUCGCCGCCGCGCUAACCAAAUAUUUCCCUUUUUGCCUCGAUUUCGCAUCAAUGAAUAGUUUUGUGUUGGAGGAUUUUCUUGGUUUUGAAUGAGGGCUGCUAAAUACUCAGGCGGUCACACGAUCUCAAAAGGCGUCUUGUUUUACCUGAGGCUGUCACAGUCACCUCGAAUGACAUCUAAAUCCAAUUUAAAAAUCCUGGUCAAGAUGGCGACAGACAAACAUGACUCUUUAACCAAAAUGAGAAAAAUGGAAUUUUCAAAAACAUUUACUGGGUUUCCUGAUGUUCACUGAACAGAUUACUGUACUAUUAUCUAUUUAGACUAUUAUCGUAUGCACAAACGCUGUUUUAUGGCACCAUAAAAAUAUUGAUGGUCAGUUGCGACAUAUUGUUGCAGACUGUAGCAUGUAACUGUGUGUGUGUGUGUGUGUGUGUGUGUGUGUGUGUGUGUGUGUGUGUGUGUGAGUGUGUGUGUGUGUGUGUGUGUGUGUGUGUGAGUGUGUGUGUGUGAGUGUGUGUGUGUGUGUGUGUGUGUGUGAGUGUGUGUGUGUGUGUGUGUGUGUGUGUGUGUGCCGCUAACAGUGAGUGUGAUCUGAACUGUGAUUGGUGGUGCUGUGUUUACUCUGACGCCCAUGAUAUUCAUUACAGGCUGCGCUGUGUGCUGCUACUUCCUGAACACGUCCCGUAGGCCGGUGACCUUGACCUCCGCGGGCCGUCCUCAAACCCCUUUGGGCUGGAGCCAGGAUGGAGGAAAUUGCACCAGAAGAUUGAUUGGCUAAAUCCUUUAAUUAUUUGGAUUUCACAGCGGCAGACCCAGUGACUUUGCCUCUGGUAGUUGACUGUGUCAAACAAAGUCGGGAAUGUUGGGCCCUCUCGGCAGAGCGAGCUGUGUUUUUCUUUGUAUUCUAAAAAUCAAGCGAAAUCUAAGGUUUUAUUUGAGGCCUGGGGAUUGCGGCAGGUUUCAUAAUAUUGACAGAAGGCAGAGACAAAACACUUGGGAUUGAGCUUGAGUGUUUUAACUGUAAAACAAAUCAAAGGGCACUGAUUUGUCACUUCCUCCUCGCUGCACAUUUCUUAUGUUUUUCAGCUUGAGUCCAGCGAAGGGCUGAUGAACGGCUGGGGUGUUUUUCUCCAGUGGAAUGUGAUCAUCUCUGUUGGUGCACGAACCGGUGUUUUAGCAGAAUGUGAUCCGCCCGCACGCAUCCUGCAGAGGAAGCUGUUUGUGACCUCUGCAGUUUGUGCCUCGAGGCCGCCGUUACAAUGACCAGGGCCCCGGCGUUGCGGCUCCGCUGCAGUGAUUGCCUGCCCGAGCGCCGAGUUCAGCUGGACGUGAUGGAUGAACGGAGGGCACAGAGCGGCAGCCUGGGCCCGGUAGUGUUUCCCCUUAGUCACCACAGUGCCAAUACAAACCUGGACAGGCAAAGACAAAUAGGAGAAACCCAUUAAGCUCCAACCAACGGGUUGUAGCCACAAGCACCAGCACGUAACGCAGCUUGUUAGUUUGUAGAAGUCAAGCUGCUUUCAACAAACUAAUAACUAGUUAAUGUACUGCUGUGACAAACACCAUUAGUCAACGUGCCCAAUUAGCCAUUUUUCAAACAAUAACAUUUGGCAGCAGUUGGGGUCAAGGGUCAACGUAUGUCCAUUUAGUCUGUAAACAGGAAGUUAAGCCAUGCUUCAUGUAAUUACAAGUGUGAAGUUGUUGCUGAAAACGCUCUUGACCUUUUGCCCUUGUCUUUAUUGGUCUUCAACCCCAAAGGUACGAGCAAUCCAAUAUUCAGCUUUACGUCCCUCCUCCUAUCUCAGUAUAUCAUUAAAAUAGUUUAUGUUUGUGUAA
This is a long non-coding RNA of Betta splendens (Siamese fighting fish), 2047 nucleotides long. RefSeq lists it as uncharacterized. The transcript is spliced from 2 exons. The record is from RefSeq and is a predicted model, not a curated record. Lineage: Eukaryota; Metazoa; Chordata; Actinopteri; Anabantiformes; Osphronemidae.